Suricata suricatta (meerkat) is the source of this 497-nucleotide long non-coding RNA. RefSeq lists it as uncharacterized. The transcript is spliced from 4 exons. The record is from RefSeq and is a predicted model, not a curated record. NCBI's taxonomy places the organism in Eukaryota, Metazoa, Chordata, Mammalia, Carnivora, Herpestidae.
CCAGACCAGCAGCUCCAACCCCUCGACGCACCCUCCCCACCCAGUUCACAGAGAACACAUCUAUGGUAGCCUCCGGGGAAUAGGCAGGAUUCUGGCCCAGAUUCCACAGCUGAAAAAACGCCUUCCCAGGGGCAGCCCUCUUGUAGGGACUGGGGAUGUGCUGCCAACAAGACAAAGUCUCUUCCCCAUGGAGUUCAUAUUCCAGUCCGGACCAGGUCUACAGCCAGACUAGAUGGAGACUCAGGGCUUCGCCACAGGAAUCUGGGGAACCACAUUCAGUCCACAGCAGAGAGCAAGAGAAGCCGUCUCCAAAGAGACGCCCCAGAGAAGCUUCCAGGGUGAAGCAAGGGAGAAACAACAAGAAGAUCCAGGGCAGGAGAGUGUCAGACUGCGGGAAGGAGGAGGAAGAAGAGGAGGAAGGAGGAAUCAAGCAUCAAAUCUAAAAAAAAUAAAUAAACUCCACUGUCACCAACCAGCUGUGUAGCCUUGAGAAAUCA